UGUUUGGUGGGACAGUUUCGGUGAGAUAUGUUUGAUAUUCUUGGUUGUUAAGAUUUCAAUUAUCACCCAGGAAUCAAACAUAUUAUUACCGUGACUGUCGU
Molecule: microRNA precursor, 101 nt
Filed under: Anopheles gambiae (African malaria mosquito)
Lineage: Eukaryota; Metazoa; Arthropoda; Insecta; Diptera; Culicidae
Description: microRNA aga-mir-190 precursor
Gene: aga-mir-190
Rfam family: mir-190 microRNA precursor family (bases 15-95)
Source: miRBase by way of RNAcentral